AUUGAACGCUGGCGGCAGGCUUAACACAUGCAAGUCGAACGGGUGAAGGGAGCUUGCUCCUGCGUUCAGCGGCGGACGGGUGAGGAAUGCCUAGGAAUAUGACUGGUAGUGGAGGAUACCGUCCGGAAACGGGCGCUAGUAGCGAAUACGUCCUGAGGGCGAAAGUGGGGAAACUUCGGACCUGACGCUAGCAGAAAAGCCCAGGUCGGAUUAGCUAACUGGUGGGGGAAAGGCCUACCAAGGCGACGAUCCGUAACUGGUCUGAGAGGAUGAACAGUCACACUGGAACUGAGACACGGUCCAGACUCCUACGGGAGGCAGCAGUGGGGAAUAUUGGACGAUGGGGGAAAGCCUGAUCCAGCCAUGCCGCGUGUGUGAAGAAGGUCUUCGGAUGGUAAAGCACAUUAAGUUGGGAGGAAGGGCAGUAAGUUAAUACCUUGCUGUUUUGACGUUACCAACAGAAGAAGCACCGGCUAACUACGUG
RNAcentral lists this ribosomal RNA (484 nucleotides) under uncultured bacterium. RNAcentral describes it as "partial 16S ribosomal RNA". It matches the Rfam family "Bacterial small subunit ribosomal RNA", at positions 29 to 507 of the family's 1533-position model. The record is from RNAcentral.